RNAcentral lists this ribosomal RNA (430 nucleotides) under uncultured bacterium. Its description in RNAcentral is "bacterial SSU rRNA". It matches the Rfam family "Bacterial small subunit ribosomal RNA", at positions 960 to 1391 of the family's 1533-position model. The record is from RNAcentral.
CGCGAAGAACCUUACCAGGUCUUGACAUCCUUUGACCACUCUAGAGAUAGAGCUUCCCCUUCGGGGGCAAAGUGACAGGUGGUGCAUGGUUGUCGUCAGCUCGUGUCGUGAGAUGUUGGGUUAAGUCCCGCAACGAGCGCAACCCUUAUUGUUAGUUGCCAUCAUUUAGUUGGGCACUCUAGCGAGACUGCCGGUGACAAACCGGAGGAAGGUGGGGAUGACGUCAAAUCAUCAUGCCCCUUAUGACCUGGGCUACACACGUGCUACAAUGGGAAGUACAACGAGUCGCGAAGUCGCGAGGCCAAGCUAAUCUCUUAAAGCUUCUCUCAGUUCGGAUUGUAGGCUGCAACUCGCCUACAUGAAGCCGGAAUCGCUAGUAAUCGCGGAUCAGCACGCCGCGGUGAAUACGUUCCCGGGUCUUGUACACACC